This 448-nucleotide ribosomal RNA is filed under the name Leucocoprinus sp. RNAcentral describes it as "LSU rRNA". It matches the Rfam family "Eukaryotic large subunit ribosomal RNA", at positions 40 to 479 of the family's 3401-position model. Lineage: Eukaryota; Fungi; Basidiomycota; Agaricomycetes; Agaricales; Agaricaceae. The record is from RNAcentral.
AUAUCAAUAAGCGGAGGAAAAGAAACUAACAAGGAUUCCCUUAGUAACUGCGAGUGAAGUGGGAAAAGCUCAAAUUUGAAAUCUGGCGGUCUUGUGGCCGUCCGAGUUGUAAUCUAGAGAAGUGUCGCCCGCGCUGGACCGUGUACAAGUCUCCUGGGAUGGAGCGUCAUAGAGGGUGAGAAUCCCGUCUUUGACACGGGUUACCAGGGCCUUUGUGGUUCGCUCUCGAAGAGUCGAGUUGUUUGGGAAUGCAGCUCAAAAUGGGUGGUAAAUUCCAUCUAAAGCUAAAUAUUGGCGAGAGACCGAUAGUGAACAAGUACCGUGAGGGAAAGAUGAAAAGAACUUUGGAAAGAGAGUUAAACAGUACGUGAAAUUGCUGAAAGGGAAACGCUUGAAGUCAGUCGCGUUGGCCAGGGAUCAGCCUCACUCGUGUGUGGGGGGUGCACUU